Molecule: ribosomal RNA, 131 nt
Filed under: Neogale vison (American mink)
Lineage: Eukaryota; Metazoa; Chordata; Mammalia; Carnivora; Mustelidae
Source: RNAcentral
GUCUACGGCCAUACCACCCUGAACGCGCCCGAUCUCGUCUGACCUCGGAAGCUAAGCAGGGUCGGGCCUGGUUAGUACUUGGAUGGGAGAAGUAGUUAUAUCAAUAAGGUAAAAAGCAUUUGUUAUAUAUA